CUGGCCUUGACAUGCCACUAACGAAGCAGAGAUGCAUUAGGUGCCCGAAAGGGAAAGUGGACACAGGUGCUGCAUGGCUGUCGUCAGCUCGUGUCGUGAGAUGUUGGGUUAAGUCCCGCAACGAGCGCAACCCUUGCCAUUAAUUGCCAUCAUUUAGUUGGGCACUUUAAUGGGACUGCCGGUGACAAACCGGAGGAAGGUGGGGAUGACGUCAAGUCCUCAUGGCCCUUAUGGCCAGGGCUUCACACGUAAUACAAUGGUCGGUACAGAGAGUUGCCAACCCGCGAGGGGGAGCUAAUCUCAGAAAGCCGAUCGUAGUCCGGAUUGUUCUCUGCAACUCGAGAGCAUGAAGUCGGAAUCGCUAGUAAUCGCGGAUCAGCAUGUCGCGGUGAAUA
This 395-nucleotide ribosomal RNA is filed under the name uncultured Methylophilus sp. RNAcentral's name for it is "bacterial SSU rRNA". It matches the Rfam family "Bacterial small subunit ribosomal RNA", at positions 975 to 1368 of the family's 1533-position model. Lineage: Bacteria; Pseudomonadati; Pseudomonadota; Betaproteobacteria; Nitrosomonadales; Methylophilaceae. The record is from RNAcentral.